Notolabrus celidotus (New Zealand spotty) is the source of this 1454-nucleotide long non-coding RNA. RefSeq lists it as uncharacterized. The record is from RefSeq and is a predicted model, not a curated record. Lineage: Eukaryota; Metazoa; Chordata; Actinopteri; Labriformes; Labridae. The transcript is spliced from 3 exons.
UCCAUCUGUUUCCAUGGUAACACUCUCCCCAGAUAUUUGUAGAGGCAUCUAUAGUGAGUGAGCUGAAGGUCAGGUGUGUAUUAACCUGUCAUCGCAAGGAGGACGGCAGCUGAUGAGGCUGCAGAAGGAGGGAAGUGACGACUGACAAGCUAAUUCUGUGUGACAGAGUGAGAUGUGCUUCUCAAACUGUCAGGCCUCUGUAGGAAUGCCAAGAGAAACACAUCAAGCAGAGCAGGGAGGAGAAAAUAAUGCUGGUAUUUCCACAACAGAAAGAUUACGCUGGAUUGAUCAUCAGCCAUUGUGUGUAUUUACUGGGCGAGGUUGUGAUUUUGCUAACUUGUCCUAAACGACCCUCCUCCUCCUCCUCCUCCUCCUGGACUGGUUCUCCUGUAAACUGUAAUAAUCAUAUUGCUCCGUCAGUGCAGAGGAGAACAAACCGUGUUCUGUCAUUCCUCAGGUAAUUCCUGAGACCCUGCCCAGCUGCACUUUCCCCCUCCAUCUUCCUCCAACAUCAACUCAAAUUACCACAUUCCUCCCUCCCUAACCUGCUCUUUAGAGUCUGAGGGUGAAAGAAAGGAUGCCUCAGGAGACGUCUUUUAGAGAGGUGCACAUACCUGCAUCUCUCUAAAAGAGAACCAGCCCUUAGUGUGUUAGAGGAGGUUCAAUACAGUUCAAAGCUGCAGCAAACUUUAAAGAUGAAUGCUGAUAGUUGGUUAAGGGGGUCACAACACUUUGCUGUAGCUUCUGUAGCCCAACACCUAGUUUCUGUUUGAGGUUGUUUUAUGUCAUUUUAUUUGAUUUUUUCUUACAUUUCUGUAGUUUUGUUGUUAAGUUGUCUAUGGCUUUUACUAGUAAUGAAAAAUACAGGCUACAUUUAACCUGCAUUAUCUCUCUCUGGCCACCUGACCACUACUCUGCUUCUACCUAUCAAGGGACGGGAGGAUGAUAAGAAGAAAUGACCUCGUUAUCAUGGUUAGCUACAUUAGCCAAUACAUUGCUACAGACAGACAAGCUCUGAGGUGUAUCUACAUAGUAAUAAGGUCCAUCUCACUCUCACCAAGCUCUUCUGAUACAGUUGUUAAUUACUUGUGUACCGUAUGAGACCUCAUUAAAGUUGGAACUUAGUUUGUUGUAUUAUUUUGCAACGGUAGUUUUUAUGUGGAUGUAUUAAAGUUACCAGAUGCCAGCCACAUCUUUUUGGAUUCCUCAUCUGUAGGCAGGUGAUACAAACUCUUAUUAUUAUUAACAUAUUACAUAGUAACAUUUCGAAUAAGAGUUAUGUACAAAUAGGGGUAUAGUUCAUUUGAUUGACUCGCGGUCAUGCUGUAGCUGUUUGUGAGGCAGUAAGGCUCCAACUCCAUCUCUUUUGCUAUGUUCACACUGCAGACAAAAGUGGCCCAAAUUUGAUUUUUUGGGGGUCAAGUGACCAGGUCAGAUUUUUUCAGAUUUAGACC